AGUGAACGCUGGCGGUAGGCCUAACACAUGCAAGUCGAACGGCAGCACAGUAAGAGCCUGCUCUUACGGGUGGCGAGUGGCGGACGGGUGAGGAAUACAUCGGAAUCUACUUUUUCGUGGGGGAUACCGUAGGGAAACUUACGCUAAUACCGCAUACGACCUACGGGUGAAAGCAGGGGAUCUUCGGACCUUGCGCGAUUGAAUGAGCCGAUGUCGGAUUAGCUAGUUGGCGGGGUAAAGGCCCACCAAGGCGACGAUCCGUAGCUGGUCUGAGAGGAUGAUCAGCCACACUGGAACUGAGACACGGUCCAGACUCCUACGGGAGGCAGCAGUGGGGAAUAUUGGACAAUGGGCGCAAGCCUGAUCCAGCCAUACCGCGUGGGUGAAGAAGGCCUUCGGGUUGUAAAGCCCUUUUGUUGGGAAAGAAAAGCAGCAGGUUAAUACCCCGCUGUUCUGACGGUACCCAAAGAAUAAGCACCGGCUAACUUCGUG
Molecule: ribosomal RNA, 492 nt
Filed under: uncultured bacterium
Lineage: Bacteria
Description: partial 16S ribosomal RNA
Rfam family: Bacterial small subunit ribosomal RNA
Source: RNAcentral